This is a long non-coding RNA of Homarus americanus (American lobster), 1926 nucleotides long. RefSeq lists it as uncharacterized. Lineage: Eukaryota; Metazoa; Arthropoda; Malacostraca; Decapoda; Nephropidae. The record is from RefSeq and is a predicted model, not a curated record. The transcript has 4 exons.
CUUAACCCAAACAAAAUAACACUAAACCGCACACACACACUGUACUUAUAUAUGUUGAACACUAUUUACUGUCUCCUCUACACCUUGCAAUGCAUCUGUUUAUCCUCCAAGGUUCACUGUAUCUUAUUAGGCCAACCACACAUCUGUCACUCAGUCCAUAUGUAAUCUAGUUGUAACAUCUCCCAAGUAUACCUAACCAAACCUAACCUUCCUCUCUCAGGUUAGCUUUAGGAUGUUUAAUCAUCAGGUAAAAUAAACUCAGGAAUAGUGUUAAUCUUCAAAUGAUCGCAUAUACUGUAUAUUUGUCUGGUGUUGAUCAAUAGCGGAAGUUAGUGGAGUGUGGCCUUGUGUCAGAUUUUUACCUCCUUCAAGGUUACCGUGACGUGUGGAGGAGUUCCCUGCGUUGUUUUUAUAUCGGAAUGUUUCCGUCUGAACCUGCGUCAUGGAAAAUAAAUACCAAAAGAGAGAAAGAGAGAGAGAUUAUACAUUUAUGGCCGUGGUAUUGAUGUGAUAUGUGAUAAUAUGGUUGGUACAUAUGCGCCAUUAGUCACCAACAAUUAAAAAUUAAAUGGUUGUGUUUUCUCGAUAUAACUGGUUGGAUGGAAGGUGUUACUGUAUUUCAUUACAUUCUGAUUUCAUUAUCCGAGACUGUAAUUCCUUCUAUACAACUUAUGAAAUGGCUGUAUCGCCACAAGGAUCUGGUAACCAUGGUGAUGUAUUUCAGACUGCGUUGAUUCUACGAAUGACAGUAAACUUGUUCGAGCCAGUACCAGUUAACACACACACACACACAGCCGAUCCACUCAGUUUCAUAUUAAAGAGUACCGCCACCUCUCGCUGGGUCAACCUCAUUUAAGGUCAAGGUCAAGAUUGUCAUUGAUUAUUUUACCCUCAGAUUACUGGGUGUCACCGCCUGACCUUGGCUUUGUGUGUGUGUGACUGCAUUCUGUACAUUCCUUUAAGUCACACAAUUAAUUCGGGUCAUAUAUUUCCACUCUCGAGGAAACUUUAAGACGCGAGAUAAAAAUUUAGAUAGAGGUGUUUAUUUUCUUAAUAUCAAUGAACGUAUGUACUGUAUUAAUUCUAAAAUAGCCCUGGCCAAGUUGAGGGAAAAGGUUGUGGGGUCUUGUUCAGGUGGGGUUUAAUAUAGUAAUUUGUGGAGGUAAACGAUGACAGGUGUGAGGAACGUGGUUUGGGGUGAUACCUGGGGACAGUGAUGCUUCAUUACUGCUGUCCAUGUAGUGCAAGGUGAUGGAGAUGGUGGUAGUAGUCAGUGUGGUGGAGGUGUAGGCACUGUGGUGGUAGAAGCAGCAGUGGCUGUAAUCACACCAACAGCAGCAGCAGGCAUUGUGGUGGAAGUGGUGCUGUGGUGGAAGGGCGUCAGUGUGUGGCCAACAGUGGUCGGGUGCAGUACGUCUGGUGAGCACCUCCACACCUCUGGCACGUGCACCGCGCGAUACAACAAACAUCUCUACUCUCUCUCACGACCACUGUACUGUACAGACCAGCGGACACCGUGUACUGUACACCCGUCUCUCUACUGACUUUACAGUGUUUGAUUGUGAUAGAAACUGAGUUUGACCUACACCAAGUCAACAGCCACAUAUACUUUCCCGGUCCACCAGUAGAAGUUACCAUCCUGCCUCACUAAUACAGGACACCAGCACAGGUGGAGCGAUGGUGUGGUGGCAUGGUGGCCCCGCAGGCUUCACUGUGGUGGCCUGCCUGGUGCUCUAUGUCCUCGACCUACCUGGGAUGGCUGAAGGGAACGCCCAACGACGCUUCCUGGAGCAGAAACUGAAGGACUAUGAUGUUAAUGUGUGGCCUGGCGGUGCCGAGAGAUAUGAUACACGGCACGGCCUCGCCAACUUCACUGUGCCUCACCUCCCGGACCUCCUCAGCACCUCCUCCUACCUGCCCUACCCC